Molecule: ribosomal RNA, 253 nt
Filed under: uncultured bacterium
Lineage: Bacteria
Description: partial 16S ribosomal RNA
Rfam family: Bacterial small subunit ribosomal RNA
Source: RNAcentral
UACAGAGGGGGCAAGCGUUAUUCGGAAUUAUUGGGCGUAAAGGGCGCGUAGGCGGCUUGGCAAGUGGAAGGUGAAAUCCCUCGGCUUAACCGAGGAACUGCCCUCCAAACUGCUUGGCUUGAGACCGGGAGAGGUGAGUGGAAUUCCCAGUGUAGCGGUGAAAUGCGUAGAUAUUGGGAGGAACACCAGUGGCGAAGGCGGCCCACUGGACCGGUACUGACGCUGAUGCGCGAAAGCGUGGGGAGCAAACGGG